RNAcentral lists this ribosomal RNA (4008 nucleotides) under Triticum aestivum (bread wheat). Its description in RNAcentral is "partial small subunit ribosomal RNA". Lineage: Eukaryota; Viridiplantae; Streptophyta; Magnoliopsida; Poales; Poaceae. The record is from RNAcentral.
AUGACGCCCUAUAGCACGAAGCGGUCGGCAUUGAUGCCGCUCGACAUGACCGGACGAAGGGCGGUGCUGACCGACGCGACCUCUCGGCAGCAUCCGCUUCAAUACGGACACAACUUCCCCAGGAACCAACUCCGACCGCUGAGCUGCAUUGAAGCAGCCCCUUCGCCUUGGCCUCGUCGAGACCAUUUAAUCCGUACGCCGGCGUCACCCAGAGCCGCACUCCACCUCCCCGACCAUCGCCCCCCUCCCCCGUCUUCAUGCCCGAGCCCCUCCUCCUCCUCGCCCCUAGCUGAGCGAUGCCGAAGUCAUGGUGCUCCGCACCGACAGGCGGAUGGCGAUGAAGACGCGGUGGUGCCGCAAUUGCCGCGACUCCUAAAGGAGGCCGCUACGGACGAAGAUUUCGUCCAUCAGAUCAGGAUAAUGACGGAGCGGUCGCUCCAUUACAUGGGCCCGUCGCCGCCAUCGCCGGCGGGUGUGAAGGAGGAGCAUCCGUCCCUGUCGCUCUACCGCAUGAAUCCCGAGCCGACAUCCCCACUCUAUCUUGUGAAGGAGGAGUCGACCUCGCCCCGGCACAACCGCGGCGUCCAGAUAAGAUGCCGAGUCCGCCUCGCACCUGCACCACCGCGGAGUCCAGAUCGGACGCCUGGUCAAGGAGGAGUCGGCGUCCCUGCCACAUCGUCGGUACGGCCGCCUGGACGCACCAUCAUCAUCGUCGCGCCGCCACCGCCUCACCGCCAAGGAGGAGCUGCCACCCGCGAUCAAGAAGGCUGUCCACAGGUCGCAGGAUCGAGGUCAUGGAGUCCUGAUCCCGUUGUACCGUCGAGGAAAGAAUCGAGAGAAGAAUCGAAAGAACGUAUCGAUCAGGUUGCUUCGCCUUCUCUCAAUUCGAUGGAGUCUAUCACAGCGCCCUCGUCGGAAUUGAGCAAAGCCGCGGCAACCACCCGCCCUUGGGCCUAUCUCUCGCCGGAGCUCCUCGCCGACGUCUGCGCUUGUCUGCACGACGCCACCGACUUCGUCCGUUUCCACGCCGUCUGCCAGCCGUGGCGUGACGCACAGCAGUCGCAGCUCUCACCGGUGGAGACCCGGCCGCGCCAAACGUUCCAGCCAUGGCUCCUCUCGCAGCGCAUAGGACGCAUCAUCAACUCUCACGUGAUCUACUUCGGACGCCACGUCUCUUCCCAGCCGACGCAGAGCGGCCACCGCGGCAGCAACAAUGGCAUCGUUCUUGUGGAGCCGGCCGAGUCAUCUGCCGGCGACGAAAGGAACUGGGUGGCCAGCGCCGACGGCAGGUUCGCCUGGCUCUUCGCUGGGGGUUCCGAGCCAACACUCUUCAACAUUGUCACCGGAGAAGUCAAGCCACUGCCUCCCUUCCCGGACCAGGAUGACAACAACGGGAUCGGGCGACGGCUGAUGAAUCCCUGUGGCAUCGUCUAUGGCGACGGCACCAUAUUUCUCUAUACCUUUGAUACCGAGUCAGCCCGCAGCCACCACGCAUGCGCCGCGUAUCACGACGGCAAGGUCCUUGUGUGGGCCAGCGUGUUCUUCUGGUGCAUCUUGACACCAAACUUCGGAUUUGGAGGCAAUGUCGUUUUUUUUUGCGGGGGUGGAGGCAAUGGCGUUAACAAUGCCGGUGUCCACCUUGAGACGACGUGGGAUAAGCUUGAGGAGGAAUAUUAUGAGCGAGAUCAAUGCUAUAUUAUCGAGUCCCGAGGCGAACUGCUGUGGGCGUCCGUGCUAGUCGAGCACGAAGGACGCCAUGAUGAUGCCGAGGGCAUCAUGGCGUCCAAGCUGGCGGUGAGGGUGCAUGCCCUAGAACAUGAAGUGGAUGGCAGCGACAAGAUGCGGUGGGUAGAGAGGGGCGACCAGGACUUGGACGAUCGUGUCAUGUUUCUCGGGUCCCCGGCAAGCUUCGCCGUCGAUGCGACCGAGCUGGGCCUGGAUGGUGGGUGUGUCUACUUUGUCUACAAGCAUCGCGUGUUCAGGUACAACCUCGUCAAUGGCAAAGCCAACUCUGUGGAGUGGAUGUCCACCGCCGGUACGGGUUCCGACAAGGCGCAUGUCUGGCUCCGGCCACAACCUGUAGUUGCUCCAAUCCAGGAAAUCCGUGAAAGGCUUGAAACAAGAAUUUUAGUUGGCGGGGACAACAAACGGAGUUGCACAAAGUCUGCUAGGCAGUUGGCCGGAGCAAUAUAUGAAGUUGCACAUCUAAUGGGCAGGGACAGUUGGAUGCCAAUAACCCCCAGAAAAGACAAGAGCAUUACCAAGAGCAUCCAGAUUGACAUUAGAACUAGCAGCCACAAGAACCAAAUCCAGAUAAGGUGCCACGGUGGCUUACCCGCGCGCACCCGCUCGGUAACUUUCGCAUUCGUCUCGGUCGCUCCAUGUAGCCUGGUCCGGUCGAACCCAACCGGAGCCAGCCGCACUCUGUCCCUCUCCUCGCCCCAUCGCCCCGUCUCUCCAGCCGCCGCCGCCGCUGCUCGCCGCGCAGACCGCCGCGUCCGCCACCGCCGCCACGCCAUGGUCUUCGAGGAUGAGAGCAGCGACGACUUGUCCAGCCUGCAGAUCUCCUCGGACGACGACGGGAUGCAUUAUCAGAUUCCUGCUUGCAUUGAAGACCAAGACUACAAUGGCUUGCAGAAGGCACCAGAGAGGCUCUGCGUGGAGCAUCGGCUGCCAACUGAGCGCCGUGUAGCUUUUGAAUCAUUUGAGACUGUCAGGAGGUUUCUCGUUUGUGCUCAGCUUGAAAGUUUGAUGCUCUCUCAUGAAGCUGUCAAUUGUGGUUUCCUUGCUUGGGCUGACCCAGAGUGGCCUCCCACAAUGCAAAAUGCAUUGUUGAAGCUUUGGGAAAUGUUUGAAGACAACAGGACUGCUAGGAGGAAGGAUAACCUGGAAAGUUCACUUACUAUCCACCACCUUAAAAAAGAGGAAAGGAAACUGGAUGCCAACUAUGACAAUCUAGUUAAAGAUGUCAAUCAACUUCUCAAUGCCCAGGAGAACAGGGUGUUGGAUUUAAGUUAUGUGCAGGCUAAGGAGAAGAAAGCUGAGGCUUCCACUGCAUCAGUUGUGGCUGCCAUGAAGAAUGAGAUGGAGAAGAAAGAGGCAGAGAAAUUCAAGAUGCAAGAGAAGUACAAAAUGUUGAUGAACCUGGUAGAAGCUCAAGGCAGUGGCAUUAGGAACCUGAAGAUGAAUCAUUCGAAAGAGAAGGAAAAGCUAGCUGAAGGCAACAACAAUUUAAAGAUUCAGGUUGAUGAGCUCACCCAGUCUGUGAAAAAACUAACAGAAGAGAAUGUGCAGGUUAGGCGACGGCAAAGACGAUUCCUGAGCGGGCCGGGGGUGGAGGCGAUCUCGCAGGCGGCGGCGGCGGCGGCUGCGUCCAAGUCAAUGUCCAUGUCGUGGUCUUCGGGUCGUUCUCGGGCUCCCAGCUUCCGUCGAGCCUCUGGAAGGAGAGGGGACGAAUCGAGGUCGCCGGUGCCCUGCUGUGACAGCCCGAUGGCGUAUGAGCCGGAGAAGCUCUGCUGGUGCAGGCCGCGUAGGAAGGCGCCGAGAUGUAUCUCAUGGAGCCAUCAGAACCCAGGCAGGAGGUACUACGCCUGCGUGGAUGCCAUGCAAGGUGGUUAUGGCUACGUUGAAUGGCAUGAUGAUCCUCUCCCGAAGUUUUUGAGUGAUUUGAUUGGAGAUUUGCGAGAUGAAGUGCGUAGGCUGAGAGGAAGAGACGUGCUGGCUUUGGAAGAUCAGCUCAAGGAGAAAAAUGCUGAGAUAGAUGCACUGAAGGGGAAAUAUCAGAACGUUGUCUUUCUUUUUCUUGUCUUUGUGGUAGGUUUAGUGACAGCCAAGAUGCUACUGCGAUUUGGAGCACCAGAAGUAGAAGGAGCAGAAGAUGAAGCUCCUGCAGAAAAUCUUGGGGCAGUGAAAGGCCUUGCAAAUCUUGCACUUGCACUAGCUGACCCUCUAGCAGAUCUUGAAGAAGAUCUUGCAGUAGCAGAUCUUGCACUAGCAGAUCUUGCAUAA